This is a non-coding RNA of Peromyscus maniculatus bairdii (prairie deer mouse), 333 nucleotides long. NCBI's taxonomy places the organism in Eukaryota, Metazoa, Chordata, Mammalia, Rodentia, Cricetidae. The record is from RefSeq and is a predicted model, not a curated record.
CUCAGAGUGGUCACAUCCAGCCCACACACUGAUGGCUCAUGGUGAAGCCCAGGGAGCUCUCUUCCCUUUGGUGUAGCAAGCGCAGGAAGUAGAAACUCUCCAGCCUGGUUUGGUUAGAAUGCAGCACAGUGAAGAACUCUGGGCUGAUGAGGAACUUCACAGGGGGCGACUGUAACAGCAGCGUGAGCCUGGAUCUGGAGAGAAGUCCAAUGGCGUCUACGACACACACGGCCCAGUGGACAGGACAUCAAAGCUGAAAGCAGCAGCCAAGUCUCCUACUCCGUACCCUGUAAAAACCCAACCCCAACAGAGAGCAGUAACAGCAGGAGGUGG